CUCCCUGGCAGCAUAUGGAGGUUCUCAGGCUAGGGGUCGAAUCAGAGCUACAGCUGCCAGCCCAUAUCACAGCCACAGCAAUGCCAGAUCCAAGCCACGUCUGCGACCUACACCACAGCUUACGGCAAUGCCAGAUCUCCAACCCAAUGAGCGAGGCCAUGGAUCGAACCCGCAACCUCACAGUUCCUAGUCAGAUUCGUUUCAGCUGCGCCAAGACGGGAACUCCACAGUGCUGUAUCUUUAACCCACUGCACCACCAGUUUCUGACGUCCAACCAAGUGGUUCAGUUACUAUUUUUUUUUUCUUUUUACAGUUGCAGCUGUGGCACAUGGACGUUUCUGGGCUAGGGGUCAAAUUGGAACUACAGCUGCCAGCCUACACACAGCCACAGCACCACUGGAUCCAAGCCACAUCUGUGACCUACACUGCAGCUGGCAGCAAUGCCUGAUCCUUAACCGACUGAGUGAGGCCAGGGAUCAAACCCACACCCUGCGGACACUGUUGGGUUCUCAACCCACCGAGCCACAGCAGGAACUCCAAAGUGGUUCAGCCAUACAGAUUCUUUUCCAUUAUGGUCUAUUACAGGAUAUUGAGUAUAGUUCCCUGUACUACACAGGAGGACUUUGUUGUUUACCUAUUUUAUAUAUAGUAGGUUGUUUCUGCUAAAUGUAUUCUAAUUUAUCCUUCCCCCUUUGGUAAUUAUAAGUUUGUUUUCUAUGUCUGUGAGUCUGCUUCUGUUUUGUAAAUAAGUUCAUUUGAAUCACUUUUUAGGAUUCCACAUAUAGUGAUAGCAUAUGGUAUUUGUCUUUCUCUGUCUAGCUUACCUCACUCCGUAUGAUCUUCUCUAGGUCCAUCCAUGUUGCUGCAAACGGCACUAUUUCAUCCUUUUUUAAGGCUGAGUCAUUAAACUUCCAUUUCAGGGUCGGUUUCCCAGGACCACUUCCAGUACCAAAUGCUUUGGACUGAGAUCGCUGUGAACAGGCGCUGAGGCAGAGGGUUGUGUGUUGAAAGUUUGUCAGGGAGUGUUUCCAGGGGACACACCUGUCUAGAAGCAAGGAUGGCAGGAAUGGCGGAGGGAGAAUCUGGGAAAACUGUCACUGUGGUGAGCUGGGGCGGGUGGGAACCAGUGACAGGGGACAUGCUCCGGGAGUAGUAUUUCUGGCACUAGGGAGGUGAGAGGGCUAACAGCAACAAGAAGACAAUGGCACUGAUGCUGCAGAACACCGGUGAUGUGGUGGAAAGAGCAAACAGGCCCCGGAUGAGAUAAGGAGUCGGGCUCUCAUUCUGUGGCGUGGAUUGGGGCAGACACGUUGACAGGCUGGAGCGGCAGUGGCUGCUUCCCGAUUAUGCUGGCUGCCCCCUAGACCAGGACAGUGGCACUGAGCUGCAGCCAGCAGCUCUCCUGGCAGUUCGGGUCAGCAGUGUGGCUUUGGUACUGGUUCUGGAAGCUCAGGCCAGCUUCAUUUUCUCAACCCUCGCAAGGAUUCUGCAGUUGAACACUGGGCAAUUCCAACCACGUCUGUCUGAUUUCAAAAGCCAAGUUCUGUCCUCAACACCAUGUGGUGACUGGGAGAACUGAGCUUUCCUACCCAGAAUGAACUAAAUAAAAGGGAGCACACAUGGCUGGAGAAGAGGGCCGUGGGUAAGGAAAGGAGGCAGUGCAAAAAAUAAAAGCAGCUAUUUGGAGGUAAAAUACCAGGGCUCAAGUCCCUAACUCUACACCAUAUGAGCUGUGUGAUGUCCGGCAAGCUACUCAACCUCUCUGUGCUCGGUUUAGGAGUGAGCUCUCAGAAUCUCCCGCUCCUGACUCCAAUCUUUGGUUCUGUUUGAUGGAGAGUGAAGUUGCUUCUUGCCUCAUGUUUGCAAAACGGCUUUUCACAGCUCUGGCCACGGUGUCCUCCCCUAACUGUGUCAAGACAGGAAGAAAAGACAGACAGUGGGUGGGAAAGAGGGCUCUUUAAUUCACAGGCAGCUGUCUCCAGAUACGCUUCAGCAAAUGUGUCCUCAAGUCUCCUUGGUCAGGACCAGGGACAUGGUCACUGGCAGUUUUGUUGGAGUCGGAACAGACCACGCUUACCACUAUCUUGGAGCUUUUUUUGGGCAGUCUCUCUCCUUAGAAUGUUCUUCCUCCAGAGGUGUUUUUUGGGUUUUUUUUUUUCUUUUUUUUUUUUUUUGUCGUUUUAGGGCUGCACCUGCAGCAUAUGAAAGUUCCCAGGCUAGGGGUCCAAUCAGAGCUGCAUCUGCUGGCCUACACCACAGCCACAGCAAUGCCAGAUC
Molecule: long non-coding RNA, 2277 nt
Filed under: Sus scrofa (pig)
Lineage: Eukaryota; Metazoa; Chordata; Mammalia; Artiodactyla; Suidae
Description: lncRNA (ENSSSCG00050007541.1)
Source: RNAcentral